AAACCCUAUGUAAUUUACUAGAGUGGUUGUAUAAAGAGAGUAACUUUAUGUGAAUAUUGGGUGUAAAGUUUUGUAAUUUUUCAUUUUUAUUGGUGUUAUUUUGUAUUUUACUUGAAGUUUUCGCUCGAAUUCUUGAAUUAUUGGAUGCAGUUUUUUUUUGUAAAUGGUGGUUAAUGUUGGGUUGGGAGCUUGUUAACUACUUUUUUUGAUGAUGAUUGCUAAACGGGGUUUGUUUUUUGCUCACGUUUCCUAGAUAAAUUGUUGAAUUAUUGGAUGCAGUUUUUGCAAAUAGUGGUAAAUGCUGGAUUGGGAGCUUGUUAAUUACUUUCUUUGAUGAUGAUUGCUAAACGGG
Molecule: long non-coding RNA, 352 nt
Filed under: Capsicum annuum
Lineage: Eukaryota; Viridiplantae; Streptophyta; Magnoliopsida; Solanales; Solanaceae
Description: long non-coding RNA (CANN_LNC009338)
Source: RNAcentral